Molecule: long non-coding RNA, 425 nt
Organism: Cyprinus carpio (common carp)
Lineage: Eukaryota; Metazoa; Chordata; Actinopteri; Cypriniformes; Cyprinidae
Source: RefSeq, a predicted model, not a curated record
GCGUUGAUUCUUGAGCGCGUUUCACCUGAGUUUCAUGAGAGGAACAGGUAGAGCGAGUUGACGCGCUUCCGGACGCAGGUGAGAGAGCAGCCGUCAUGAACGCGUGGAUGAAAAAGAAAAGCGGCUGCCUCGCGCUCUUCGCUUGGACGCUGAGGUCUUGAUCUUUUGGGAUUAAAAAUAAUAACAAGAACAGUUCCUCCACGGGUAUCACAGCAGUUUCUCAGGUUAAAGUUCCCUUCCAAAAUGUAAAAGGAUGACCACUGUGUAGUCACAAUUAACCAGCAUCAUGAGUUCGGAGAGCGUGUCGGGCCUGUUCAUGCCGGUGUUGUUCCUGCUGACUCUGGCCUUGGUUCUGUUCUCAUGCGUCCUCCGUAAGAGGCAGCAGAUGGAGGGAUCAUACCAGCCCAGCGCUGAAGAGCACAAAC